This 459-nucleotide ribosomal RNA is filed under the name uncultured bacterium. Its description in RNAcentral is "partial 16S ribosomal RNA". It matches the Rfam family "Bacterial small subunit ribosomal RNA", at positions 338 to 795 of the family's 1533-position model. The record is from RNAcentral.
CCUACGGGAGGCAGCAGUGAGGAAUAUUGGUCAAUGGGCGGGAGCCUGAACCAGCCAAGUCGCGUGAGGGAAGACGGUCCAAUGUAUCGUAAACCUCUUUUGUCAGGGAACAAAGGCGGGCACGAUUCCCCGGAUGAAGGUACCUUAUGAAAAAGGAUCGGCUAACUCCGUGCCAGCAGCCGCGGUAAUACGGAGGAUUCGAGCGUUAUCCGGAUUUAUGGGGUUUAAAGGGUGCGCAGGCGGCCUGUUAAGUCAGCGGUAAAAGUCCGGGGCUCAACCCCGGCGAGCCGUUGAAACUGGCGGGCUGGAGUUGGAGAGAAGUACGCGGAAUGCGCGGUGUAGCGGGGAAAUGCUUAGAUAUCGCGCAGAACCCCGAUUGCGAAGGCAGCGUACCGGCUCCACACUGACGCUGAGGCACGAAAGCGUGGGUAUCGAACAGGAUUAGAUACCCCUGUAGUC